RNAcentral lists this ribosomal RNA (208 nucleotides) under Triticum aestivum (bread wheat). RNAcentral's name for it is "rRNA LSU_rRNA_eukarya". It matches the Rfam family "Eukaryotic large subunit ribosomal RNA", at positions 1172 to 1379 of the family's 3401-position model. Lineage: Eukaryota; Viridiplantae; Streptophyta; Magnoliopsida; Poales; Poaceae. The record is from Rfam by way of RNAcentral.
AAGCCGGGUUACGGUGCCCAACUGCGCGCUAACCUAGAACCCACAAAGGGUGUUGGUCGAUUAAGACAGCAGGACGGUGGUCAUGGAAGUCGAAAUCCGCUAAGGAGUGUGUAACAACUCACCUGCCGAAUCAACUAGCCCCGAAAAUGGAUGGCGCUGAAGCGCGCGACCCACACCCGGCCAUCUGGGCGAGCGCCAUGCCCCGAUG